Molecule: ribosomal RNA, 250 nt
Filed under: uncultured bacterium
Lineage: Bacteria
Description: partial 16S ribosomal RNA
Rfam family: Bacterial small subunit ribosomal RNA
Source: RNAcentral
ACGUAGGUCCCGAGCGUUGUCCGGAUUUAUUGGGCGUAAAGCGAGCGCAGGCGGUUCUUUAAGUCUGAAGUUAAAGGCAGUGGCUUAACCAUUGUACGCUUUGGAAACUGGAGGACUUGAGUGCAGAAGGGGAGAGUGGAAUUCCAUGUGUAGCGGUGAAAUGCGUAGAUAUAUGGAGGAACACCGGUGGCGAAAGCGGCUCUCUGGUCUGUAACUGACGCUGAGGCUCGAAAGCGUGGGGAGCAAACAG